GAUGAAGAACGCAGCGAAUUGCGAUAAGUAAUGUGAAUUGCAGAAUUCAGUGAAUCAUCGAAUCUUUGAACGCACAUUGCGCCCGCCAGUAUUCUGGCGGGCAUGCCUGUUCGAGCGUCAUUACAACCCUCAGGCCCCCGGGCCUGGCGUUGGGGAUCGGCGGAAGCCCCCUGCGGGCACAACGCCGUCCCCCAAAUACAGUGGCGGUCCCGCCGCAGCUUCCAUUGCGUAGUAGCUAACACCUCGCAACUGGAGAGCGGCGCGGCCACGCCGUAAAACACCCAACUUCUGAAUGUUGACCUCGAAUCAGGUAGGAAUACCCGCUGAACUUAAGCAUAUCAAUAAGCGGAGGA
This 353-nucleotide unclassified non-coding RNA is filed under the name soil metagenome. RNAcentral describes it as "partial contains 5.8S ribosomal RNA, internal transcribed spacer 2, and large subunit ribosomal RNA". The stretch from base 1 to 120 matches the Rfam family "5.8S ribosomal RNA", at positions 35 to 154 of the family's 154-position model. The record is from RNAcentral.